AUAUUGUAUGUUGAGUGCAGGUGAGAAGCUGCGUUCAGGUUUGAGCCGAGCGAAGCGAGACAGCGUUGCGCUUGCCGCAACGACCCGAAGGGUGAGGGCAAAGCCUGAGUCAUCCUGCAUGACCCACCA
RNAcentral lists this small RNA (129 nucleotides) under Providencia alcalifaciens. RNAcentral's name for it is "RtT sRNA". It matches the Rfam family "RtT RNA". From Rfam's summary of the family: This family represents a bacterial cis-regulatory element known as RtT RNA. The exact function of RtT is unknown although it is thought that it may be involved in changing the cellular response in relation to amino acid starvation. Lineage: Bacteria; Pseudomonadati; Pseudomonadota; Gammaproteobacteria; Enterobacterales; Morganellaceae. The record is from RNAcentral.